RNAcentral lists this ribosomal RNA (989 nucleotides) under Russula sp. HMAS 280181. RNAcentral's name for it is "eukaryotic LSU rRNA". It matches the Rfam family "Eukaryotic large subunit ribosomal RNA", at positions 21 to 982 of the family's 3401-position model. Lineage: Eukaryota; Fungi; Basidiomycota; Agaricomycetes; Russulales; Russulaceae. The record is from RNAcentral.
UUUUACCCGUGUGAAACUAAGCAUAUCAAUAAGCGGAGGAAAAGAAACUAACAAGGAUUCCCCUAGUAACUGCGAGUGAAGCGGGAAAAGCUCAAAUUUAAAAUCUGGUGGUCUUUGGCCAUCCGAGUUGUAAUUUAGAGAAGCGUCUUCCGCGCUGGACCGUGCACAAGUCUCCUGGAAUGGAGCGUCAUAGAGGGUGAGAAUCCCGUCUUUGGCACGGAGCCCCCAGUGCUUCUGUGAUGCGCUCUCGAAGAGUCGAGUUGUUUGGGAAUGCAGCUCAAAAUGGGUGGUGAACUCCAUCUAAAGCUAAAUAUUGGCGAGAGACCGAUAGCGAACAAGUACCGUGAGGGAAAGAUGAAAAGCACUUUGGAAAGAGAGUGAAAUAGUACGUGAAAUUGUUGAAAGGGAAACGCUUAAAGUCAGUCGCGUCGACCGAGACUCAGCCUUGCCUCGGCUUGGUGUACUUCUCGGCUUGACGGGUCAGCAUCAAUUUUGUCCCUCGGAUAAUGACAAGGGAAAGGUGGCACCUUUAUAGGUGUGUUAUAGUCUCUUGUCGCAUGCGAGGGCCAGGAUUGAGGAACUCAGCAUGCACCUCUUGGUGUCGGGGCUUCGGCUCACGUUACGUGCUUAGGAUGCUGGCGUAAUGGCUUUAAACGACCCGUCUUGAAACACGGACCAAGGAGUCUAACAUGCCCGCGAGUGUUCGGGUGGAAAACCCGUGUGCGUAAUGAAAGUAAAAGUUGGGACCUCUGUCGUGGAGGGCACCGACGCCCGGACCAGACCUUCUGUGACGGAUCUGCGGUGGAGCGUGCAUGUUGGGACCCGAAAGAUGGUGAACUAUGCCUGAAUAGGGUGAAGCCAGAGGAAACUCUGGUGGAGGCUCGUAGCGAUUCUGACGUGCAAAUCGAUCGUCAAAUUUGGGUAUAGGGGCGAAAGACUAAUCGAACCAUCUAGUAGCUGGUUCCUGCCGAAUUUCCCCUCAGGAAAAA